AAUGAACGUUGGCGGCGUGGAUUAGGCAUGCAAGUCGAGCGAGAAGCUCCCUUCGGGGAGUGGACAGCGGCGAAAGGGAGAGUAACGCGUAGGUACGUACCUUAAGGUCCGGGACAGAGGUGGGAAACUGCCAGUAAUACCGGAUAAUCUGUCAGCAGCAAAGGUGUGAUUCCGCCUUGAGAGCGACCUGCGUCCUAUUAGGUAGUUGGUGGGUAACGGCCUACCAAGCCGAAGAUGGGUACCGGGUGUGAGAGCAUGGCCCGGCUCACUGGGACUGAGACACUGCCCAGACACCUACGGGUGGCUGCAGUCGAGAA
This 317-nucleotide ribosomal RNA is filed under the name uncultured bacterium. RNAcentral describes it as "bacterial SSU rRNA". It matches the Rfam family "Bacterial small subunit ribosomal RNA", at positions 29 to 361 of the family's 1533-position model. The record is from RNAcentral.